UACGUAGGCGCAGCGUGUCCGGAAUUAUUGGGCGUAAAGAGCUCGUAGGCGGUUUGUCGCGUCUGCUGUGAAAGCCCGGGGCUCAACCCCGGGUCUGCAGUGGGUACGGGCAGACUAGAGUGCAGUAGGGGAGACUGGAAUUCCUGGUGUAGCGGUGAAAUGCGCAGAUAUCAGGAGGAACACCGAUGGCGAAGGCAGGUCUCUGGGCUGUUACUGACGCUGAGGAGCGAAAGCAUGGGGAGCGAACAGGAUUAGAUACCCGGGUAGUCC
RNAcentral lists this ribosomal RNA (270 nucleotides) under uncultured bacterium. RNAcentral's name for it is "partial 16S ribosomal RNA". It matches the Rfam family "Bacterial small subunit ribosomal RNA", at positions 524 to 796 of the family's 1533-position model. The record is from RNAcentral.